AUUGAACGCUGGCGGCAUGCUUUACACAUGCAAGUCGAACGACAGCGCGGGCUUCGGCCUGGCGGCGAGUGGCGAACGGGUGAGUAAUGCAUCGGAACGUGCCCAGUAGUGGGGGAUAGCGCGGCGAAAGCCGGAUUAAUACCGCAUACGACCUGAGGGUGCAAGCGGGGGAGCGAAAGGCCUCGCGCUAUUGGAGCGGCCGAUGUCGGAUUAGCUAGUUGGUGGGGUAAAGGCUUACCAAGGCGACGAUCCGUAGCUGGUCUGAGAGGACGACCAGCCACACUGGGACUGAGACACGGCCCAGACUCCUACGGGAGGCAGCAGUGGGGAAUUUUGGACAAUGGGGGCAACCCUGAUCCAGCCAUGCCGCGUGCGGGAAGAAGGCCUUCGGGUUGUAAAACGCUUUUGUUCGGGAAGAAAUCCUCUGGGCUAAUACCCCGGGGGGAUGACGGUACCGGAAGAAUAAGCACCGGCUAACUACGUG
RNAcentral lists this ribosomal RNA (484 nucleotides) under uncultured bacterium. RNAcentral's name for it is "partial 16S ribosomal RNA". It matches the Rfam family "Bacterial small subunit ribosomal RNA", at positions 29 to 507 of the family's 1533-position model. The record is from RNAcentral.